UCCUAGCUGGUGUAGUGGCUAACAUACGACUCUCUCAUAAUGGUCAGUCGUGCCCAGGGUUCGAUUCCCUGGCUGGGAA
Molecule: non-coding RNA, 79 nt
Organism: Tulasnella sp. JGI-2019a
Lineage: Eukaryota; Fungi; Basidiomycota; Agaricomycetes; Cantharellales; Tulasnellaceae
Source: the annotation of a GenBank genome assembly